RNAcentral lists this microRNA precursor (94 nucleotides) under Canis lupus familiaris (dog). RNAcentral's name for it is "mir-8799 microRNA precursor family". It matches the Rfam family "mir-8799 microRNA precursor family". RNAcentral also lists the same sequence under 1 other name. Lineage: Eukaryota; Metazoa; Chordata; Mammalia; Carnivora; Canidae. The record is from Rfam by way of RNAcentral.
AGGGGAGUGCCAGAUCCUGGGCUAUGUCCCCUGGUGCCUUGAGCUCUGGAGCCUGCACUGCUGGAAUCGUGCUCCCGGGGCUGCGCAGUCCCCU